This 909-nucleotide ribosomal RNA is filed under the name Laccaria bicolor. RNAcentral describes it as "eukaryotic LSU rRNA". It matches the Rfam family "Eukaryotic large subunit ribosomal RNA", at positions 63 to 956 of the family's 3401-position model. Lineage: Eukaryota; Fungi; Basidiomycota; Agaricomycetes; Agaricales; Hydnangiaceae. The record is from RNAcentral.
AACUAACAAGGAUUCCCCUAGUAACUGCGAGUGAAGCGGGAAAAGCUCAAAUUUAAAAUCUGGCAGUCUUUGGCUGUCCGAGUUGUAAUCUAGAGAAGUAUUAUCCGCGCUGGACCGUGUACAAGUCUCCUGGAAUGGAGCGUCAUAGAGGGUGAGAAUCCCGUCUUUGACACGGACUGCCAGGGCUUUGUGAUAUGCUCUCAAAGAGUCGAGUUGUUUGGGAAUGCAGCUCAAAAUGGGUGGUAAAUUCCAUCUAAAGCUAAAUAUUGGCGAGAGACCGAUAGCGAACAAGUACCGUGAGGGAAAGAUGAAAAGAACUUUGGAAAGAGAGUUAAACAGUACGUGAAAUUGCUGAAAGGGAAACGCUUGAAGUCAGUCGCGUUGGCCAGGGAUCAACCUUGCUUUUUUGCUUGGCUUACUUUCUGGUCGAUGGGUCAGCAUCAAUUUUGACCGGUGGAAAAAGUUCAAAGGAAUGUGGCAUCUUCGGAUGUGUUAUAGCCUUUGUUCACAUACAUUGGUUGGGAUUGAGGAACUCAGCACGCCGCAAGGCCGGGUUUUUAACCACGUACGUGCUUAGGAUGCUGGCAUAAUGGCUUUAAUCGACCCGUCUUGAAACACGGACCAAGGAGUCUAACAUGCCUGCGAGUAUUUGGGUGAAAAACCCGAGUGCGUAAUGAAAGUGAAAGUUGAGAUCCCUGUCGUGGGGAGCAUUGACGCCCGGAUCUGACCUUUUGUGACGAUUCUGCGGUAGAGCAUGUAUGUUGGGACCCGAAAGAUGGUGAACUAUGCCUGAAUAGGGUGAAGCCAGAGGAAACUCUGGUGGAGGCUCGUAGCGAUUCUGACGUGCAAAUCGAUCGUCAAAUUUGGGUAUAGGGGCGAAAGACUAAUCGAACCAUCUAGUAGCUGGUC